UCACGCAUGCGCACGAGGGUUCAAGCAUGUCUGACGUAAAAACAUAUGAAUGAAAUCCAUAUAGUUUUUGAAAAAAAUAAAAAGGACCUAUACUUUAUGGACAGCCCUUGUAUAUGUGUCCCCAAAAAGACUAUGGUUAAAUGUGUACAAAAUGUAGGGGGUUAGGGUUGGGUGUGAGGUCCUGUAUGAGGUUGGUAGUCCAGGGUUAGGUUAUCUUUAGACGUGUAAAUUGGUGUCCAAUUUGGUUUAAAUGGGCUUAGGGUCGGGCUAAGAUUAGGAAUGGGGUUGGGAGUAGGGUUAAGGUUAGGGCCAGAGGUUAUGGCGGGGAUUAGGAUUAGGUUAACCUAAAUUGGGUUGAGGUUAGGGCCAAGGGUUAAGGUUAGGGCCAGGGGUUAAAGUUAGGGGUUAAGAUUAGGUUAAGUCAGGUUGGGUUAGGGUUAAAGUUAGGGUUUCGGCCCCUCCACGGGGUCGAAGGUGCAUGGGCUCUGCCACGAUCAGAAAGCUCCCCGUCGGGUCGGGGCUGGGGUUUAAAGUGGCGUUUAUAACGCCCCUGAAUCCAGUCAGACAUCAUGUAAUAGGACAAUCAGGUUAAAUCAGACCACAAUUUGGUAUAAUAAAAAUAAAAUGCACAGGAAAAAUGAAAAAUCAACAGGUGGGAGACGUGCAAUGAGGAGGGAAGAGAAAAAAAAUGAAAAAAAGCAAGGAAAUGUCUGCAAAAAAUAGAAAAAAAUGGUGCAAACGUGCUUCAGUCGCGACGUUUCGGUCUCAAAAGACCUUCAUCAGGCGUGAAGCACUUAAUUUUCAGUCUUUAAAAAGACUGUGGUUCUGUGUGGAGCAGCUGGUUUUGCAGUCCUCUCUCAUCCGAGUUUGGAUUUGAAAAUGACAGCUGGUGGCUGUGAGUGGCUCUUUUUGAGGGUGGGUGGAGUCAGCACUCUGGGCUUGUGUGAGAAAGUUUUUAGAAUGUUUUUUUUUUUAGAAAAAAUAAAAAGAGAAAACAUUUAGAAAAGACAAAAAGGGGGGGGGAAGAGGGGGAGAAAUUGAAAAAAAGCAAUUGGAGAAAAAAGGUGGAGCAGGAUUCCAGGCCGGAGAUCUGAAGGGCUUCCAGUCCAUGUGCCAGGAAGUGGCACACAUUUUGUGUUUGUGUUGGGGGUGCAAACCCAACAGUUUUUUCUUGGCGCCCAACGUGGGGCAUUGGC
Long non-coding RNA from Thalassophryne amazonica, 1196 nucleotides. RefSeq lists it as uncharacterized. The transcript has 3 exons. The record is from RefSeq and is a predicted model, not a curated record. Lineage: Eukaryota; Metazoa; Chordata; Actinopteri; Batrachoidiformes; Batrachoididae.